ACUCCUACGGGAGGCAGCAGUGGGGAAUCUUCCGCAAUGGGCGAAAGCCUGACGGAGCAACGCCGCGUGAGUGAUGACGGCCUUCGGGUUGUAAAACUCUGUGAUCCGGGACGAAAAGGCAGAGUGCGAAGAACAAACUGCAUUGACGGUACCGGAAAAGCAAGCCACGGCUAACUACGUGCCAGCAGCCGCGGUAAUACGUAGGUGGCAAGCGUUGUCCGGAAUUAUUGGGCGUAAAGCGCGCGCAGGCGGCUUCCCAAGUCCCUCUUAAAAGUGCGGGGCUUAACCCCGUGAUGGGAAGGAAACUGGGAAGCUGGAGUAUCGGAGAGGAAAGUGGAAUUCCUAGUGUAGCGGUGAAAUGCGUAGAGAUUAGGAAGAACACCGGUGGCGAAGGCGACUUUCUGGACGAAAACUGACGCUGAGGCGCGAAAGCGUGGGGAGCAAACAGGAUUAGAUACCCUGGUAGUCCACGCCGUAAACGAUGGAUACUAGGUGUAGGAGGUAUCGACCCCUCCUGUGCCGGAGUUAACGCAAUAAGUAUCCCGCCUGGGAA
Molecule: ribosomal RNA, 553 nt
Filed under: uncultured bacterium
Lineage: Bacteria
Description: bacterial SSU rRNA
Rfam family: Bacterial small subunit ribosomal RNA
Source: RNAcentral